Molecule: long non-coding RNA, 575 nt
Filed under: Manihot esculenta (cassava)
Lineage: Eukaryota; Viridiplantae; Streptophyta; Magnoliopsida; Malpighiales; Euphorbiaceae
Description: long non-coding RNA (MESC_LNC007483)
Source: RNAcentral
GAAAUUCAAAAAAACCUUACUUUCUUCGGAUUACUAUGCCUGCAAGAAACUGUACGGAAAUUAAAACCGCACACCCCUAGUUCUAGUAAGCCUUAUUUGGAAGCAUCCACUCUUUUGGUUCUGCAUCCUUUUGCCUAUUUGUAUUCCAGGAGGCUUCUAUUUUUUUUUUUUUUUUUCUUGGCUUGGGAGGGUCUUCUUUAGCCUUGCACAGGAUUUCCAGAAUCUUUAACCUUCUCCUUCUUGUGGUGGAUGGUCGAUUCUAAAGGCAAGAACGUCGGGUGAGCUCUUCUCCGCAUCCCUUCUCAGCUUGACCAUGGUGUUCCAUUUUUCCUUUGCUUCUGUGCUUUUUCAUGUGAUGGGAUUUCUGGUUGUGAUUGCAUGUGCUUCUUUUUGGAUUUUUUAUUCAUCGUUCAUCAUCAACCGACUUGUCUCCCUUGUCGACUUUUUGAUAAUCUGCUCACUCCAGCAAGCUAGGGUACACUUGGGCUUGAUUGUUUCUUGUAGGCCUUGGGCCAUUUUGGUUAGUUUGUAUCUUUGGUUCUCUGUUUAUUCCUAAAGCUUCUUUAGUGGUUUGG